This is a long non-coding RNA of Eptesicus fuscus (big brown bat), 1147 nucleotides long. RefSeq lists it as uncharacterized. NCBI's taxonomy places the organism in Eukaryota, Metazoa, Chordata, Mammalia, Chiroptera, Vespertilionidae. The transcript is spliced from 4 exons. The record is from RefSeq and is a predicted model, not a curated record.
UCUGAGGAUGGGGUAAAAGGCUAAAGACAAAUUGAGAAAUGAGAGUGUAUCUCUCACACAUGGCAUCCCAUCUGCACAAAAUGAGGAUAUGUGAAACAAAAUCAUAAAUGCUAUCAGUGAUGAAAAGCAAUCAUUUUUAUAAUUACUCAGUAAUAAACAUUCAUAUGCUUUCUUGUGGAAGAAUAACCAUGGAGUCAUUGACUGAUGUUGGUCCCUGAACUAGUGUUCUGGAAACUGCACUAAAAUGGUGCCUACUGACUUUAGGGAAUUAACAAUCACUAAAAUGCAGUGACCUGGAAAUAACCAAGGAGACAAAAGAAGGUGUCCUACUACGAUGGCAAGUAAGCAAGUGAACAUGCUAGAGCCAAUGCCAGUGAGCCAGCUGGCCAUGACAGAGAAGACGAGUGAGAAACACUGUGGAGGUGGACAGAGAUGCUUUUAUGAACAAAUUCACAUACUCCUUGCGUCACAUCACUGGGAAGUUUGUUGAAACUUUGAGGUUAACGUCCUGUAGGACAGGGCAGCAGUACCACUUGCUCUAGUCCCCAUCAGAAGCAGAAUCCUGUCAUGAUGAAAAAUGGAUCUAUUUGGGCUUGCAAGGGACUCAAGCUGGCUGGUCAAAAAGCCCCUGCUGGAUAGUCUCCAUGGAGCUGCCGGGCAGAACUGUCAUCUUUCUCAAUGGAAAGACGUUUCUCCCUUGGGAUCCCGUUUUAAAUCACCGAUACUAUCAGCCCAUGAAUCCGGAAACCUGCCCUGGGAUUUUAGACCAGGGGAGGGCUCAUUGUCUAAUUCACAAUGACCUAGGAGGCUGGUUCAUCUGGAUUGGGAGUUAUACUUGUGCUUAGCUCCAGCUGUGGGCCAGCUAAUUUCCUGCAUGUUCUCUCAUUUAAUAUUGUAAUUGGAAUUUGCAGGAUCACUUGAAUCUUACACAAACAUCUGGUUUCUUGUCACCUAGAACCGUCAGGAUUUCCCUGCAACAGUGUGGGGCCUCCUAAGUUGCCUUUUGGUGGGUCCUAUUUCAGGUCUUCGAAGCCUGAAGCCUGUAAGAAGCAGCCUGCCCUCUAGGAUUCAUUGGUCAGCCUGGCUGCUGGGUUCAGAAUUGAUUUCCUGGCUACAGUCACUCCUCUCCCCCCAUCUGCCAGCCACU